AUUGAACGCUGGCGGCAUGCUUUACACAUGCAAGUCGAACGGCAGCACGGGGGCAACCCUGGUGGCGAGUGGCGAACGGGUGAGUAAUAUAUCGGAACGUACCCGGAAAUGGGGGAUAACGUAGCGAAAGUUACGCUAAUACCGCAUAUGCCCUAAGGGGGAAAGCGGGGGAUUCGCAAGAACCUCGCGUUUUCGGAGCGGCCGAUAUCGGAUUAGCUAGUUGGUGAGGUAACGGCUUACCAAGGCGACGAUCUGUAGCGGGUCUGAGAGGAUGAUCCGCCACACUGGAACUGAGACACGGUCCAGACUCCUACGGGAGGCAGCAGUGGGGAAUAUUGGACAAUGGGCGCAAGCCUGAUCCAGCAAUGCCGCGUGUGU
RNAcentral lists this ribosomal RNA (378 nucleotides) under uncultured bacterium. RNAcentral describes it as "bacterial SSU rRNA". It matches the Rfam family "Bacterial small subunit ribosomal RNA", at positions 30 to 406 of the family's 1533-position model. The record is from RNAcentral.